Molecule: ribosomal RNA, 496 nt
Filed under: uncultured bacterium
Lineage: Bacteria
Description: partial 16S ribosomal RNA
Rfam family: Bacterial small subunit ribosomal RNA
Source: RNAcentral
AUGGACGCUGGCGGCGUGCCUAAUCCAUGCAAGUCGAGCGAACAGACGAGGAGCUUGCUCCUCUGACGUUAGCGGCGGACGGGUGAGUAACACGUGGAUAACCUACCUAUAAGACUGGGAUAACUUCGGGAAACCGGAGCUAAUACCGGAUAAUAUAUUGAACCGCAUGGUUCAAUAGUGAAAGACGGUUUUGCUGUCACUUAUAGAUGGAUCCGCGCCGCAUUAGCUAGUUGGUAAGGUAACGGCUUACCAAGGCGACGAUGCGUAGCCGACCUGAGAGGGUGAUCGGCCACACUGGAACUGAGACACGGUCCAGACUCCUACGGGAGGCAGCAGUAGGGAAUCUUCCGCAAUGGGCGAAAGCCUGACGGAGCAACGCCGCGUGAGUGAUGAAGGUCUUCGGAUCGUAAAACUCUGUUAUUAGGGAAGAACAAAUGUGUAAGUAACUAUGCACGUCUUGACGGUACCUAAUCAGAAAGCCACGGCUAACUACGUG